Molecule: long non-coding RNA, 1590 nt
Organism: Psammomys obesus (fat sand rat)
Lineage: Eukaryota; Metazoa; Chordata; Mammalia; Rodentia; Muridae
Exons: 3
Source: RefSeq, a predicted model, not a curated record
CAGAAAGUGUGCGGUUCUCGCUGCUUCGGGCUGGACGUUGCGGCUAGGCGCCUCUAGGGCUUUGCUGCCUGGCGAGCGUCCUGUCUGUACGUCCCAAUCCCCGCGGACGUACCAACCCGAGGCUUCGGUGGGAUAUUCUGGAUUUUUUUCUAGCGCGGAUCGUGUGUUCGCUCUGGCGAUGCUCAUAGAAGAAAGGCACAGAGCUGUUCGACGAGGCGGGAUGCGCUGGUCAGAGUCCUCGGUGGCUUCCUCCGGCUGCUCUCGGCGCCGGUCGGCUCCUGGAGACCGCGCUGCAGCCGCCGCUACCCACACGGGUCCGCGGCGCGGUGGCGGCGCUUUGGCUUAGGGCGCCCGAUGGACAGUGGGGAAAGGGUUCGGGGCGCCGGCUCCCCUAACGUGGAUUACUUGGUGUUUAUCAGCUGGAUUUAGCAGUCCCACGACCUCGUCUCCAGCUGUGGAUUGUCUUUCCGCCUCCCGGCGCCUCUCCCACCUGGGGGUGAAGCCAGAGGUUCCUGCUGACAUGGAGCAAGGACAAGAGAAAGGCGUAGAAGGAGGCUGACCAAGGCCUGUUCCUGAUGGCCCAUGCUGCUCACUGGAAGCUCUGUGGAACUCUGGAAAAUGUGUCCCUGGUCCUCCUUUCAGGACUGGGCUGAGAUCAGACUCCCUCUUGAGAGGCAAAAGCCCUGGAUUCAAUUGAGGAAUGUUAUUUGGAGAAUAUAGAAACUUCUAGACCGGGGAGACAUUUGGGAAGGAGUAGUCUGUGUUGACUCGAAUGAACAAAGACACACAUCUCUGGACAUGGGGAAGGCUCACCAUCGCAGCUCAUCAACUGUCUUAUAGAAAACAAGCCUCCUGCUGCCACUACCCAGGACACUCUUCCCCACUCAGUCCCUGUCCCAGGUGCCACACUCUUCCCUACCUGACACUACCCCCUGUGCCCACCGUGCCUUUGGACCCAGGGAAUCUUCUUAUUUGCUCUAUUAUCUUUGAGCCGGAUACAGAGUGAACAGUUAACUACUUUUAAGUUGAAUAGCAUCUUGAUUUUUUAUUUCUGUUCCUUGUAAGGAGGUCAACUGUCUGCACAUGGUACACAGCCUGACUCCAGAGUGACACAAGAUCUGCCCGAGGUUCUGUGGUCUCUUGGAGGUCCGAGCAAGAGGAGAGGCCUGAGUAGGGCUGCCAUUUGCCGUGGUCCCCUUGUAUUGCUUGCAUCAUAGGCUGGUGUGCAUCUGGAUAGGCAGAGAUGAGCCCAUCACUCAUUCCAUCCUCUGUGAAAAAAAAUGCAGUGAGCCGUGAAGACUCGCAAAGGCUGCAGUCAGGGAUCAGCUUCUCCAGGUGCUUCAUGGCUGAGCAGUCAGCUCCAUUGGUUGUGCCUACUGAGAACCCCUUUCCCUGAUGACACAGGCAGCUGUCCAGAGGUCCAGAGCUACGACCUCCACUUGUGCAGUUGGAAAUCCAUCCUAAUGACAUCAUGAUUCCACCUUCUUGACUGUGCACUCGAAGACAUUUGAGCUUUUUUGUUUGUUUGUUUGUUUGUUUACAAAAUGGAUGGACAGUUUGUUUAUAAAUAAAACAAUCCGAGCUUCUUCA